ACGCUCGACACCUACGAGAGGCAGCAGUGGGGAAUAUUGCACAAUGGGGGAAACCCUGAUGCAGCGACGCCGCGUGAGUGAAGAAGUAUUUCGGUAUGUAAAGCUCUAUCAGCAGGGAAGAAAAUGACGGUACCUGACUAAGAAGCCCCGGCUAACUACGUGCCAGCAGCCGCGGUAAUCUGAGCGGGCUGGCAAGGC
RNAcentral lists this ribosomal RNA (198 nucleotides) under uncultured bacterium. RNAcentral's name for it is "partial 16S ribosomal RNA". It matches the Rfam family "Bacterial small subunit ribosomal RNA", at positions 328 to 539 of the family's 1533-position model. The record is from RNAcentral.